AUAAAGACUGGGAACGGGAAGAGUAGGCGGUCAGCCCUUCAGAGAGCGGAAUUGUAGUUGCUGUGAAUUUCCGCAGGAUGCAGCCCCCGAAGUCGCCCCGGAGUCGCCCUUCUGAGCUUGCCUCCACAUUUAUGGAGACCAGGUUAGGAUGUGGCCGGACGCAGCCGUUAUCUGCAUGAGUGUCGCGCUAAGCUUCCGGACCUGUAAAAGGGCCCUGAGGCAGGGGGUUAUUUUUGAAAUACAAGAAAGUAUAGGUUUUACAUUAUACAUUAUCCUUGUAUUUCCUCUGAAACGGAUACCGUCCCAUGAAGGACGGCGCAGCCGUUUACACCUGAUUAGCGCGAAACAAAGGUGGUACCGCGAAAGAAUGGCCUUUCGUCCUUUGA
RNAcentral lists this non-coding RNA (386 nucleotides) under Paenibacillus sp. RNAcentral describes it as "T-box sequence". It matches the Rfam family "T-box leader". From Rfam's summary of the family: Uncharged tRNA acts as the effector for transcription antitermination of genes in the T-box leader family. T-boxes are found upstream of many aminoacyl-tRNA synthetase genes and some amino acid biosynthetic genes usually in Gram-positive bacteria. The anticodon of a specific tRNA base pairs to a specifier sequence within the T-box motif, and the NCCA acceptor tail of the tRNA base pairs to a conserved bulge in the T-box antiterminator hairpin. The record is from RNAcentral. Lineage: Bacteria; Bacillati; Bacillota; Bacilli; Caryophanales; Paenibacillaceae.